Pongo pygmaeus (Bornean orangutan) is the source of this 663-nucleotide long non-coding RNA. RefSeq lists it as uncharacterized. The record is from RefSeq and is a predicted model, not a curated record. The transcript has 6 exons. NCBI's taxonomy places the organism in Eukaryota, Metazoa, Chordata, Mammalia, Primates, Hominidae.
GCUAAAACCUUUGAAGAGGAAUUUAUUAUAUCCUACAACUGGGUUAUAUGCCAUGAUUGGAAGCUUCCUGAAGGCCUAGCCAGGAACAGAUGUUCUCAUCAUGCUUCUUGUAUAGCCUGCAGAACUGCUUUGACACCAGCACCUGUCUAUGAAGAAAAGAGUGUGUUGUGAACGAAGUCAGAAUUUCCUGUGUUCCCUUUGCCGCUACUGGAGCUCACUGGUUCGCCUUCCAGGGAACCCAGCCUUAGAUGAUUAAACAAAUUGAGGAGGGCCUGAAGAAGCAGGGCAGCAGUGCUCUGGAGGUGGCGGAAACACAGCUGGUGUUAACGAGAUAAUGGCCUUAAUGCAUUGGGAAAAGCAGCUUGGGACCAAUGCUGUGGGGAGUCAGUCAACAGGGUCAUCUCCACACAGGAAGGACAGGAAAGAGGCUCACAAUCGCAGCAGGGGCUGUGCCUGGAGAAGGUAUUCUGGGGCAAGUUGGAUUUUCUCACAGCACUGAAACAGUAGGCUUAGUGGAAACUGAAAUCAGUCUCAUGGGAAGACAGCCCACACCUCCAACCCCUGUCAUCUUUGGAGUCCCAGAGGAUGAAUCGCUGCUGCUAAACCUCCGGACCAGGAAAGCAGUCCUAGUGGGUUUUUUUGUUUUGUUUUGUUGUUGUUGUU